AAAGAACAUGCAGUACUAGCAGUCAAAUAACAUGUAGUACUAGCAGUAACAGAACAUGUAGUACUAGUAGUAACAGAACAUGUAGUACUAGCAGAAACAGAACAUGUAGUACUAGCAGUAACAUAACAUAUAGUACUAGCAGAAAGAGAACAUGUAGUACUAGUAGCAACAUAACAUAUAGUACUAGCAGAAACAUAACAUAUAGUACUAGCAGAAACAUAACAUAUAGUACUAGUAGUAACAGAACAUGUAGUACUAGUAGCAACAUAACAUAACAUGCAGUACUAGCAGCAACAGUGGACGCAAAUAUUCUCCCCAACUGAAUAUUGGACAAGUUCAAAAUUCCAAGUCAAUCAAAUUGUUGACAGUUAUCCAAAGUAGAUGAAGAAAUGGACAAACAACAGGGGACGUGUCAGAACAUGUCUAAGGGAAUAUGGCUACAAGCAACGACAGCUCACGAGGGUAAAACCAGUAAAUGUGACAUCAAGACGGUAAAUGUAGUCACGGUAACGCAGGGCUGUGUAAAUGUAGUCACGGUAACGCAGGGCUGUGUAUAUGUAGUCACUGUAACGCAGGGCUGUGUAUAUGUAGUCACUGUAACGCAGGACUGUGUAUAUGUAGUCACUGUAACGCAGGACUGUGUAUAUCUAGUCACGGUAACGCGUGUGUCUCUGUGUGUGUGUGUAUUGUUCCUGGUUGUCCGAUUACUUCCUCAGUUCCUGCGGAGGCCCCUCCCCCAAAUGUAGUCCUCCAGACCCCAUAGCUCUACCAUGGCCUUGUCCAGAGUCGCCCUCUCGGACAGCUCAACCACCUGCACAACCAUAGAGGGAACAGAGAGAUGGUGUUAGCUGGAGGAACCUGUCUGUGCUUCUGCUUCGCUUGCUCUUUAGGUUUAGGCUGGGUAACUAUAGAGACCGUUAGGCUGGGUAACUAUAGAGACCUUUAGGCUGGGUAACUAUAGAGACCUUUAGGCUGGGUAACUACAGAGACCUUUGGGUUUAGGCUGGGUAACUAUAGAGACCUUUAGGUUUAGGCUGGGUAACUGUAGAGCUCUUUAGGUUUAGGCUGGGUAAAUGUAGAGCCCAUUAGGUUUAGGGUUAGGGUUAGGGUUAGGCUGGGUAACUAUAGAGACCUUUAGGUUUAGGCUGGGUAACUACAGAGACCUUUAGGUUUAGGCUGGGUAACUAUAGAGACCUUUAGGUUUAGGCUGGGUAACUACAGAGACCUUUAGGUUUAGGCUGGGUAACUAUAGAGACCUUUAGGUUUAGGCUGGGUAACUAUAGAGACCUUUAGGCUGGGUAACUACAGAGACCUUUAGGCUGGGUAACUAUAGAGACCUUUGGGUUUAGGCUGGGUAACUAUAGAGACCUUUAGGUUUAGGCUGGGUAACUAUAGAGACCUUUGGGUUUAGGCUGGGUAACUAUAGAGACCUUUAGGUUUAGGCUGGGUAACUAUAGAGACCUUUAGGUUUAGGCUGGGUAACUACAGAGACCUUUAGGCUGGGUAACUAUAGAGACCUUUAGGUUUAGGCUGGGUAACUAUAGAGACCUUUGGGUUUAGGCUGGGUAACUAUAGAGACCUUUGGGUUUAGGCUGGGUAACUAUAGAGACCUUUAGGUUUAGGCUGGGUGACUAUAGAGACCUUUGGGUUUAGGCUAGGUAACUAUAGAGACCUUUAGGCUGGGUAACUAUAGAGACCUUUAGGUUUAGGCUGGGUAACUAUAGAGACCUUUAGGUUUAGGCUGGGUAACUAUAGAGACCUUUAGGCUGGGUAGCUACAGAGACCUUUAGGUUUAGGCUGGGUAACUAUAGAGACCUUUAGGCUGGGUAACUACAGAGACCUUUGGGUUUAGGCUGGGUAACUAUAGAGACCUUUAGGCUGGGUAACUAUAGAGACCUUUAGGUUUAGGCUGGGUAACUAUAGAGACCUUUAGGCUGGGUAACUAUAGAGACCUUUAGGUUUAGGCUGGGUAACUAUAGAGACCUGUAGGUUUAGGCUGGGUAACUACAGAGACCUUUAGGUUUAGUCUGGGUAACUAUAGAGACCUUUGUGACAAAAAUACUUCUGAUGUAAAAAAAACAAAAGGGCCUUCUAAAAUAAAAAUGGAUUGAUUGAGGAACCUAGAAACAAGCUAUUAAGGCCAGUCCAUGACACGUGCUUGCACAGUGUGUAGCUGUAACACACAGUGAUGUUCUCUGUAGCCCAUCUGGAGUGUUAUUGAUGUGUGAUCACUGGUGAUGAAGAGGUAACGUGGAACCACACCUUUUUACUGGCUGCCUUCAGUCUCUGCAGCUGCAGUAUGGCUGCAUCCUUCGACAGCAGCUCCACAUCUUCCUCUAUCUUAGACUGGGGAAAUAAAACACAAUAAGUUUUAAAAAGAUAUAUUAGGUUGUCGUUCAUUACCUCAUGCUGACCUGUCCCCGUGUGGUUGUUUAAUUGCGGUUGAAGCAUGUUUUAACGUCCUUUUGUGUUUGAUUGUCAGCGCCGUCCUGUGUUUACCUCAUUCACUGGCUUCCCAGCAGCUUCCUGGUUUAGCUUUUCACAGAUGUUUACCUGCAAUCAAUCAAUCAGCCAAUCAAACAAUCAGCCAAUCAAACAAUCAGCCAAUCAAACAAUCAGCCAAUCAAACAUUCGUAUCUAUUAAAAAAAAUGUUUUUCAAACUUGUACUUUGUCAGAUGUUGUCAUAAAUUGCUUUGACAGAUUUAGUGUGAGAGUCUUCUAAACAGACACUAGCUGGGUUACAGAGCAGUGUAACAUAAUCACUGAAACACAAAAAAAGGGGCCACAGGAAAUCCUGUCUGUGUUUGAGUCUCUACCGUCACAGAGAGGUGGUUCAUGCAAUUCACAUAGGAAGUGUCCCCCCAAAACAAAUGGCACCCUAUUUCAUAUAUAGUGCACUACUUUUAACCAGAGCCCUAUGGACCCUGGUCAAAAGUAGUGCACUAUGUAGGGAAUAGGGUGCCAUUUGGGAGGCAGUUCUAAUGUUUGAGACACUUACUGGGUGAACGCAUUCCUUCACUUCAUCCAGCAGGCCUCCGAGGUCAGGAUAAUUUCUGUCUUGUCUCUGGAGAACUUCCCGAUAAAAGUCCAGGAUUUUGAGCAGGACACAGCCGUGGUACUGGACAUGAGAGAGAACAGGAGACAUUGUGUUUUAGUAAAUGUGCUGCCGAGGUCGAGCACGAUGGACAUGGUGUCGAUGGAACUUCUUCAUUGCACUCAUUCGUCUCAGACUCAUGCAGGAUCCCAGAGCGCCAACAGAUCAAUCAAUCAAAUGUAUUUUUUAUGAAGCCCUUUACACAUCAGCAGAUGUCACACAAAGUGUUUUACAGAAACCGGGUGUAAAACCCCGAAGAGCAAAGCUAUGCAGA
Molecule: long non-coding RNA, 3369 nt
Organism: Oncorhynchus tshawytscha (Chinook salmon)
Lineage: Eukaryota; Metazoa; Chordata; Actinopteri; Salmoniformes; Salmonidae
Source: Ensembl